Molecule: RNA transcript, 2514 nt
Organism: Zea mays
Lineage: Eukaryota; Viridiplantae; Streptophyta; Magnoliopsida; Poales; Poaceae
Exons: 11
Source: RefSeq, a predicted model, not a curated record
CCGCUCCGCACAUUCCCACCGCUCCCUCGCCCCCAGAUCUCGCGCACGCCAGCACCAGCCAUGCGCGGGCAGAGCCCCCGCCCCCGGAUCCAUGGAUGACCGGCGUGGAUGGCGCCUCCGCUUGAUGUCUCCUCCAUCGAUCCCGUCUCGGCAUUGAAACUGUCGCAGCCCACGAUGCACUCCACCCCCGGCCGAUGCUUCCCCGCCCAGCCGCCUGCGCCCGCGGCUACAUCAUCCAGCCUGCCGCGUUCGCUACCGACGAUGCACUCCACCCACCUCCGCCGCCCGCCAUGGCCUCCACCCAACUCACGUGCAGCAGGUUCCAACUCCCAAGAUCUAGGUCGGACACCGGCGCACACCACGUCAGCGACGCCAAGCACCACUCGUUCGACCUCGGCAAGCACCUGCCUCUCCGUCAUCGCCCCACCCCCCCCCCCCCCCCCCCCCCCCCCUCCGCUCUCUAUCGCUUGCUCUAGCCGAUCUAUGUGCAUGGGGCUCAACGACUGGAACAAAUCCUCGUCGAUGCUCAGGGAUGGUUUUAGGGUAGAUGGAGCAUCCCCUACAUGUGUCUUCCAUGGGAUGGCCCAACUGCAGAUCUGUUCCUGGGAUACUACACAAUGACUACAUUGCAUACUCGGAGCUGCUCGACAGGAGCGUCGUCGGCGGUGCUGUAAACAUCUCCUAGAGUCCUCGGGCACAAGAAGGUCAGGCGGUGAUGCCAAUGCAGAUCAUCCAAUCAGAUCCAGAAUGCCUGCCACUGUAUACUUGGAGCUGCUCGACAGGAGCGCCGUUGGCGGCAUUGCAAACAUCUCCUAUAGUCCUCGGGCACAACAAGGUCAGCCAAUGACGCCAACGCAGAUCAUCCCAUCGGAUCCGGUAUUCUUGACGAAAAUCCCUGAAGAUGGGAAACCCACGCUGCUGGUGCAAACACCGCCGGUGAUGCCAGUGUAGGCCCCAUUGCCCUUGGACGGGAUGUCACUGACUACAAUGGAGUACCUUUCUUUCUUCGAUGUCAGUCGAUUAUGUUUACUAUGGAAUAUGGAUGUUCUCUUAUAUGCUUGGUUGUAGCUCCUGACAUGCAGUUGUAGCUUGGCUCGAGGCGGGCAUCAGCGACGACAAACAUCCUGCUCAAUUUGUUGUAUGAUAAAUACUGCGAAACAAUGCUGGUGUUUCAUAAGAUGACCGUGCAGCUCAUGAAAAUCCAGAGGGUGGAGUCGAGCGAGACGACGUGGCCGGCGCGGCGCCAGGUCGUGGCGUGCGCCGCUGUUUGCUGGUCGUGGCGUGAGGUCACCAAGGAGGUGGUGAAGACGCUCAAGGAGUGCGGCAGGAUCACCUUCCCCAUGUCCCUUAAGCAGGUUGGCACUCUCUGCCUUUUCUCUACUUUGAUGAUCAAUCACAUGUCUUCACCUUUGCAGAGGCUUAUGAUUUUGAAGAUCUAGAAUCUAUGGUUGAAGAAAUAGCCAAAGCAUUCAAGACAAAGAUAAUGUUUAUAUAUGUUGACACUGCUGAAGAAAACCUUGCAAAAACCAUUCCUCACUCUUUAUGGCAUUGAAUCAGAAAAGGCCUACUGGUCCAGUUCUUGAAAGGGUGGGAAUGUGUCCAAGAAGACAAAGGCAUCGACCCGCCAAUUCUUCGCUACAAAUUAAAACAGCACUAGGGUGAGAUCAGUGGGCUUGAGAGUAGCAUCAUCCUUCAAACAUGAUGAUGGGUUUCUAGCUGAUGGUGUCUCUAUAGCUCACUGGUAUCCUUCAAAAAGAAACUUCCUGGAAAAAAUGUCUUUUGAAGCUAAUCUUGCUCCAUACAGCUAAUCUUCACAUCUUUCAAAGCAUUUGCUAGGGCCCUUCGGUGAGCAAUAGAAUACGACUUGCGCUACCAAAGCGUCCAUAGCUGAAUGCAAACCAUUGAGAUGGUCCAGGUUGAGGACCUCCAUGACACCUAUGUUGGUGUGGGUUGUGCCGCCCCAUCGUGACCGUCAUCGAUUGGGCCUCCGAGUCCAGGAGAAGACCUCCGAUGAAGAAAGAGACAUGCUGCACAUGCACGAGGGUACUUGCAGAUAGAUGUCGGCUCUAUGGACGAACACUCGACCAAGUCAGAUGAGGAGUAUGAGGGCCUAGCCAUGCGAGACAUGAUGGCUACCGGUCCAACAAUGAGCAGCAAGCUGUGAGUUAAAGAUGAACUCACCUGUCCUGGAGAGCAACAUCCAUAGGAGUGAGGCAAAAUGGCGGGUACCACCACAACAUGGACCCGUUCCUGAAGAUGUCCAAGGAGGUGGUAGCCGACACCAUAAUGUCUUGCGCGUCAUUGUGUCACCGGCCGGCAACACGCUGCGCUGGUACCGGCGGGUGUUAUGUUUCUUAGGCGUAUGUUUCUGUGCUUUGAGCUGUGCUAUAGACUGGUUGUGCCAACUACUGAUUUUAAAAGAAAAAGGUGAGCUGAAAAUCAUUGUUGAAAACAAACAUGUAACGGUUCGUUCUCAUCAGUUGUGCCAACUACCAAUCAUUUCAUUGAUCAGAA